CGGAUCAGACUAAAUGAGUUCCAGUACAAAUAAAGAAGCGGAGAAAUUGCAGCAAGCGGCUGGCAAGAUAUUCCACGACAGCGAGACAGAUGUGCUGUGACACUCCAUCCCCAACAAUUGAUGCUGCAUGUUCAAGAGCAGAUUUAAUAAUACAGGUGCUAGAGACUCGCUUAAAUAGGAAAGCUGGUGGACUAAUUGGCUUGAACUUCAGGGACCACAAUUUGAGCUUGGAGUUUGGCAGCUUAACAUCAGUGAGCUUUCCAAAGGCUUGUUGCUAAAGCAAAUCCCCGUGAACUGAAAUGAGGCUCAAGGAUACUACCAGAGCAUCUUGAUUUUGAUUUGAUGUAUCAGAGAUCUCCAAGUAGAAGAAGGAAGAGAUCUCAAUUCCUGGCCUGUGAGGUGUCAAGUACUGCUAUGCGGCCACACCAUGAUCUACUGGGCAGUCCGUCAAACCAGGAUGAGCCACUUCGGUACGCACUUGGGCCUAGGUGAUAUUGCCUGUUUCCAUUGGAUGGGAAGGUGGAGUCUUUGCUGGCACGGCCUGCUGCCAGUACUGUUUAA
Long non-coding RNA from Sceloporus undulatus (fence lizard), 561 nucleotides. RefSeq lists it as uncharacterized. The record is from RefSeq and is a predicted model, not a curated record. The transcript is spliced from 3 exons. Lineage: Eukaryota; Metazoa; Chordata; Lepidosauria; Squamata; Phrynosomatidae.